UGGGGAAUAUUGCACAAUGGGCGCAAGCCUGAUGCAGCCAUGCCGCGUGUAUGAAGACGGCCUUCGGGUUGUAAAGUACUUUCAGCGGGGAGGAAGGCGAUAAGGUUAAUAACCUUGACGAUUGACGUUACCCGCAGAAGAAGCACCGGCAAACUCCGUGCCAGCAGCCGCCGUAAUACGGAGGGUGCAAGCGUUAAUCGGAAUUACUGGGCGUAAAGCGCACGCAGGCGGUCUGUCAAGUCGGAUGUGAAAUCCCCGGGCUCAACCUGGGAACUGCAUUCGAAACUGGCAGGCUAGAGUCUUGUAGAGGGGGGUAGAAUUCCAGGUGUAGCGGUGAAAUGCGUAGAGAUCUGGAGGAAUACCGGUGGCGAAGGCGGCCCCCUGGACAAAGACUGACGCUCAGGUGCGAAAGCGUGGGGAGCAAACA
Molecule: ribosomal RNA, 427 nt
Filed under: uncultured bacterium
Lineage: Bacteria
Description: partial 16S ribosomal RNA
Rfam family: Bacterial small subunit ribosomal RNA
Source: RNAcentral